RNAcentral lists this small RNA (127 nucleotides) under Marmota monax (woodchuck). Lineage: Eukaryota; Metazoa; Chordata; Mammalia; Rodentia; Sciuridae. The record is from RNAcentral.
GCUGGGCACGGUGGUGCAUGCCUGUAAUCCCAGUGGCUUGGGAGGCUGAGGCAGGAAGAUCACAAGUUUGAGGCCAGCCUCAGCAAUUUAGUGAGGCCCUAAGCAACUUAGUGAGACCCUGUCUCAA